AUUGAACGCUGGCGGCAUGCUUUACACAUGCAAGUCGAACGGCAGCGCGGGGCAACCUGGCGGCGAGUGGCGAGCGGGUGAGUAAUACAUCGGAACGUACCCAGAAGUGGGGGAUAACGUAUCGAAAGUUACGCUAAUACCGCAUACGUUCUACGGAAGAAAGUGGGGGACCUUCGGGCCUCAUGCUUUUGGAGCGGCCGAUGUCUGAUUAGCUAGUUGGUAGGGUAAAGGCCUACCAAGGCGACGAUCAGUAGCUGGUCUGAGAGGACGACCAGCCGCACUGGGGCUGAGACACGGCCCAGAAUCCGACGGGAGGUAGCAGUGGGGAAUUUUGGAAAAUGGGCGCAAGCCUGAUCCAGCAAGGCCGCGUGAGUGAAGAAGGCUGUCGGGUUGUAAAGCUCUUUUGUCAGGGAAGAAACGGCUGAGGUUAAUACCUUCGGCUAAUGACGGUACCUGAAGAAUAAGCACCGGCUAACUACGUGCCAGCCGCCGCCGUAA
RNAcentral lists this ribosomal RNA (498 nucleotides) under uncultured bacterium. Its description in RNAcentral is "partial 16S ribosomal RNA". It matches the Rfam family "Bacterial small subunit ribosomal RNA", at positions 30 to 523 of the family's 1533-position model. The record is from RNAcentral.